AAAAACACACUCUCUUUCUACACACACACACACACACACACACACACACACACACACACACACACACACACACACACACACACACACACACACACACACACACACACACACACACACACACACACACACACACACACACAAACACACACACACACACACACACACACACACACACACACACACACACACACACACACACACACACACAAACACACACACAAACACACACACACACACACACACACACACACACACACACACACACACACACACACACACACACACACACACACACACAUACACACACCCACACACACACACACACACACACACACAGACACACAUGCACACACACACGCACACACACACACAAACACAAGUAACGUGGUAAAACAAGUGCAAGGUGCGUUGAAAACACCAGGGUUCUAUCUUUAUGUCCGAUACUGUACCAAGGUGGAUGAAAAAUAUCAGGUACUGGAUUAGGGCCUUUUGGGGGUCGCCAUAGUUGAGGGACUUUACGUCAUUUUAGAACCGUUAACCAUUGGUUUCCGCACACAAAGCUUAGCAAAUAGAACAGAUUUCUUAGUUAUUAUGUGCAUUUUUGUGUGUCUAUUUGUUAUAUCGAAAAAAAUGAGAUAUAUUAACAAAAAAUUUGAUGAUUUGUUUAUUUCAUUUCAUUUCAUUUCAUUUCAUUUCAUUUAUUUAAUACAAUAUCCGCCAUCAAGGCUAAAUAUAAUAGACUUAAAACUAAUUUAAUACUAACAAAUAAACAAAAUAAUUCAUGAAAAACUAAGCCUAACUAACCUAGUCUUGACCUAGCAAAAAAGAAAAGAAAAAAACAAGGGUAGAGCGUAGAGACUAUCAUAAACUUAACAAAAAAAAAAAGAGAGUAAUAGAAAACUAAGGAGAAUAAUUAAAGGGAAUUAGAAGAAAAAAUACGGUUACGGAAAGAGUUAAGAGAGGAGUCGAAAUCAAAGAGAUAGUAAAAGUGGUUAAACAACCUGAAACAGGACAGAAGAGGGUCAUUGAAAGUAUAAAGAGUAUGACGUGUUUCAAUUGACAGAGGAUCACGUGGACGAAGAGAACGAGAGGGAACAUACAGCGAGAUGGACGAGAGUAAAUCAGGAGCAUCAGUAUCAGAAAGUAAUAAGCCACCGAUAAAACAUGCCUGAGACACUUGGCGGCGGAAGCUUAAAGAGUGAAGAUUGAAUAACUGCAAUCGCGUUUCAUAGGGAGGUAGUGAGGCAGCACCGAACAAACGACGAAAAGCAACCCUGAAUGCUUUCAAUUCUCGAACAGUCAUCAAUAGUAGGAGGAUUUCAGAUGAUGCUAGCAUAUUCAAGAAGAGGCCUUACCAGAGCACAAUAAAGGUUUCUUAAGAAGCUUUGAUCUCUAAAAAUAGAGAUAAAACGUAAAAUAAACCCAAGAGUUCGAUUAGCUUUUAGUAGAACCUCAUCAAGCUGCAGUUUAAAGUUAAGACGACUGUCGAGUAUAAUACCAAGGUCACGGAUGGACAAAAGACGAGAGAGAGACGAGUUAGAGAGAGUAUAGUUAAAUGAAAUAGGAGAAAGAGAGUGAGAGAAAGAAAUAACAGAACAUUUUUCAGGGCACAAGCGAAGUAAGUUGGAUGAACACCAAUGAACAAAUGCAUUGAGGUAAUGCUGAAGUAUCAUACAAUCAUAAGAAGAAGACACAGGUAAAAAGAUUUUGAUAUCAUCCGCAUAAAGGAGAUGACCAUCAGGAGGUAAUACAUUACAGACAUCAUUGAUGAACAAAGAAAACAGAAGUGGACUUAGCACACAACCCUGAGGGACACCUGACGUACAAAAAAACUCCUCAGAUAAGUACGACCCGGUUUUAACCCUGCAUUAUCGAUUACUUAAAUAUGAGGACAGCCAGCUAAUAAUGCCAUCACCAAAACCAAGUUUAGAUAGUUUAGCUAAUAGUAAAGAGUGAGGUAAACUAUCAAAUGCAGCAUGAAAGUCAGUGAAUAGUGCAUCAAGUUGGGUACCGAUCUCAAAAGAUCUAAAAAUAUUGGACACAAAAGACACGAGAUUAGUUGAAGUAGACCUACCAGGCAUAAACCCAUGCUGUUUAGGGCUAAUAGCGGAACUACAACUAUGAGGUAUGGUUGCAAAGAUACAUAGCUCAAAAGUUUUGGCUGUGGUACACGAUAAAUAGAGACAAUGCUACGGCAUCCCUUUUUGUGUACCGGAAAAAGCCAACAGGAUUUCCAAAGAGCAGAAAAGACCCCGAGAGAGAGUGAAAGGUUGAAAAUUUUAGCAAGGUGUGGAGCAAGCACGUCCUUACAGUUUAUUAAAACUGAGGCAGGAAUGCCAUCUGGACCAGGAGUAAAAGAACGUUUCAACCCAAAAAACACCUGUACAACUGUUUCAGAGCUAACCGAAAUAUCGGAGAGAUUAAUUAAGUUCUCUGGCGUGUAGAGUAGCCCACCCUCAAUAAGGUUAGGGUCACUAACCGGUGGCUCAAACAUUUGGGAAAAAUGAGCAGAGAAGAGUUCACAAAUCUCAACAGGAGUAGAGGCAGUUAGAGAAUCAAGUACCAUUUCGUUAGGUUACGUAUUGCACCCUUUUCGUACCCUAACAAAUUGCCAGAAGGAUGCUGGAUCAGAACGGAAACGCGAUUGCAGUCUACUCGAAUAGGCCUCAAAACGAGCCCUGUUGUAUAGUCGAUGCGCAGAGGCAGCGUACUUAAAUAAACGAAAGUUGAAAGCAGAUCGGUUCAGACGAUACCUCCUAAGAUAUUUCAUUCUAUCCUUUUUCAGGAAAAAGGAAUAGAAUGAAAUAUCUCUUUUUUGAAAUAUCUUCUUUUUUGCGAAGAGUACGAUUGGACCAGGGAGGAUUAGGAGGGGAACGAAAAAUAGGUGUACAUGAAAGGAGUGCAGAGGUUAACAAAGCAUUAAACGAUUGGACAGCCUCGUCGACCGAUGUACAUUGAUAAAAAAAGACCAGUCGGAACGAGAUAGAAUUGAGUUAAGUUUACGAUAGUCUGUGAGCCGAAAAUUAUAACGAACACUCAAUGAAUUAGGAGCAGAAGGUAAUACAUUCAUAACCCUACUAGCCCUAAAUAAAGAAGACGGUAACGCAAUUUCUAGAGCAGGAUGAUGGGCAUCCUGGGGCAGGAGCAGUGACGAAGCAGGAUACACAGAACAACAAGCAGCUGCAGCAGAGUUGGAGAGCACCAGGUCCAAAUAAUGAUUUAAAUGGUUAUGCACCCCGUUCAGCUGAUAGAGUUCAGGUUUAACAUAUCCAAAAAGCAGGAACUGGAUGUAUUCGAAGAAAUAUGUGGCACAUAAUGUCUUAUAGCUGAAGAUGAAUCUGGCCUUACUGCGGUAGAAAGCGACCACUCUAACGCAGGUUGAUUGAAGUCACCCAGAAGGAUAAGAUGAUCAUUCGGUUUCAUUUGCAUGUAUGCAUCACUGAUGAAAGCAGAAAGGGAUUCCAAAUAGUUGCGGUCGCUGCUCAAAUACGGUGGCACAUAAACAAUCCCCUCAUAAAGACGAAACUUAGAAAAAGAAACACGUAUACAUAAAGCUUCAAGCGUGGGUUGAUUAAUGUUUAUGCACGAAAUUUAAAAUCAUGUGAGUAAGAAUUAUUAUCUCACGUAAAUUGUCCAUGCGGCUCGUAGAUAAAGAGGAAAUAAUAUGAAAAUUGAAAAUAAAAAAUGAUUUCUUAGUUUUUACCAUCAAAAAUGUCGAAAACAUAAUGAAUUAUAGAAUAAAUUCGAGGAAUAACACAAAAUAACACACUUUAAUCGAUGUUUUAAUGUUAAAUAAGAACCUGCAAAGUCCAAAAUAAAGUUUUAAAGUAUAUUCAAUCAAAAAAAUGAAGUAGAUAAAUUACAUGAACAAAUUUAAUAAAUGUAAACAAAGUUUGAAUCAUGGGGACCUUACGUCAAGUGACGAAUUGUCAAAAUGCACUCGAGUCCACCACCUGAUAUUUUUAAAUCCACCUUGGUUGGUACUCUGCGGCUGCUGUCACUGAAGAGGUUAGGUUGUGUGUGUAAUGAAAUGUAAACAGUGUUGUUGGCUGAUCAAGUGUGAUAUAAUGCAGAAACGAUAUGGGCCUGCCGCAGGUGUUUGCGACUGUGUGUUGCGUUGUGUAUGUUUGGCCAAUUUUCCUCUAUCCUGGAACAUGGGCUAACGAGGAACCAUUUAAGAACAUCCUCCGGAAGCUGUCCGGCGACGAGGCGAGCUCUACUAGCACAACACGCUAGAAGCCCAGCUGGCACCGGGUGCCCCGAUUGCGUCGUUGGACGGUGUCUAGCGCUCGUUCACAACGUUCGGGACAGGAAUUCAACCCUUCGGAUUAUUAUCCUCUGUCUCACAAUAGCUGCAGCAACAACAUGGCCGAACCGAUCGCACUACUGAUUGUGGUCAAAUUUCCUGGCAGGAGAAAAAAUCCACAAGCGACAAACACUCAUCUUCAGUGGUAAAUUGCUAACAUGAACCCACUUCUGCACAUCUACACGACAUCACGUUAAUAGUGUUAUUGUGUGAAUUGGAAAUAAAACUUGAUGUUAACGAGUUAAGUUUAA
Anopheles gambiae (African malaria mosquito) is the source of this 4557-nucleotide long non-coding RNA. RefSeq lists it as uncharacterized. The transcript has 4 exons. The record is from RefSeq and is a predicted model, not a curated record. Lineage: Eukaryota; Metazoa; Arthropoda; Insecta; Diptera; Culicidae.